Molecule: ribosomal RNA, 497 nt
Filed under: uncultured bacterium
Lineage: Bacteria
Description: partial 16S ribosomal RNA
Rfam family: Bacterial small subunit ribosomal RNA
Source: RNAcentral
GAUGAACGCUGGCGGCGUGCCUAAUACAUGCAAGUCGAGCGAACGGACGAGAAGCUUGCUUCUCUGAUGUUAGCGGCGGACGGGUGAGUAACACGUUGAUAACCUACCUAUAAGACUGGGAUAACUUCGUGAAACCGGAGCUAAUACCGGAUAAUAUUUUGAACCUCAUGGUUCAAAAGUGAAAGACGGUCUUGCUGUCACUUAUAGAUGGAUCCGCGCUGCAUUAGCUAGUUGGUAAGGUAACGGCUUACCAAGGCAACGAUGCAUAGCCGACCUGAGAGGGUGAUCGGCCACACUGGAACUGAGACACGGUCGAGACUCCUACGGGAGGCAGCAGUAGGGAAUCUUCCGCAAUGGGCGAAAGCCUGACGGAGCAACGCCGCGUGAGUGAUGAAGGUCUUCGGAUCGUAAAACUCUGUUAUUAGGGAAGAACAUAUGUGUAAGUAACUGUGCACAUCUUGACGGUACCUAAUCAGAAAGCCACGGCUAACUACGUG